AGGUGGAGGCAAAACUCAAAAACUUAGUCUCAGUUCGGAUUGUAGGCUGAAACUCGCCUACAUGAAGCUGGAGUUGCUAGUAAUCGCGAAUCAGCAUGUCGCGGUGAAUACGUUCCCGGGCCUUGUACACACCGCCCGUCACACCAUGAGAGUCGGGAACACCCGAAGUCCGUAGCCUAACCGCAAGGGGGGCGCGGCCGAAGGUGGGUUCGAUAAUUGGGGUGAAGUCGUAACAAGGUACC
This 242-nucleotide ribosomal RNA is filed under the name uncultured bacterium. Its description in RNAcentral is "partial 16S ribosomal RNA". It matches the Rfam family "Bacterial small subunit ribosomal RNA", at positions 1260 to 1500 of the family's 1533-position model. The record is from RNAcentral.